ACCAGACUCCUACGGGAGGCAGCAGUGGGGAAUAUUGCACAAUGGGGGAAACCCUGAUGCAGCGACGCCGCGUGAGUGAAGAAGUAUUUCGGUAUGUAAAGCUCUAUCAGCAGGGAAGAAAUAGCGACCUUUGGGUCGCCAGACGGUACCUGACUAAGAAGCCCCGGCUAACUCCGUGCCAGCAGCCGCGGUAAUACGGAGGGUGCGAGCGUUAAUCGGAAUUACUGGGCGUAAAGCGCUCGUAGGCGGUAUGUCAAGUCAAGGGUGAAAUCCCCGCGCUCAACGUGGGAACUGCCUUUGAAACUGGCAAACUGGAGUGUGUGAGAGGAUAGUGGAAUUCCAGGUGUAGGAGUGAAAUCCGUAGAUAUCGGGAGGAACAUCAGUGGCGAAGGCGACUAUCUGGCACAUAACUGACGCUGAGGAGCGAAAGCGUGUGUAGCAAACAGGAUUAGAUACCCCAGUA
RNAcentral lists this ribosomal RNA (463 nucleotides) under uncultured bacterium. RNAcentral's name for it is "bacterial SSU rRNA". It matches the Rfam family "Bacterial small subunit ribosomal RNA", at positions 330 to 792 of the family's 1533-position model. The record is from RNAcentral.